CCUACGGGAGGCUGCAGUGAGGAAUAUUGGUCAAUGGACGUGAGUCUGAACCAGCCAAGUCGCGUGAAGGAUGACUGCCCUAUGGAUUGUAAACUUCUUUUAUAUGGGAAUAAAGUGUUCCACGUGUGGGAUUUUGUAUGUACCAUAUGAAUAAGGAUCGGCUAACUCCGUGCCAGCAGCCGCGGUAAUACGGAGGAUCCGAGCGUUAUCCGGAUUUAUUGGGUUUAAAGGGUGCGUAGGUGGAUUGUUAAGUCAGUGGUGAAAGUUUGUGGCUCAACCGUAAAAUUGCAGUUGAAACUGGGAGUCUUGAGUACAGUAGAGGCGGGCGGAAUGCGUGGUGUAGCGGUGAAAUGCUUAGAUAUCACGAAGAACCCCGAUUGCGAAGGCAGCCCACCGGACUGUAACUGACACUGAGGCUCGAAAGCGUGGGUAUCAAACAGGAUUAGAUACCCGAGUAGUC
This 460-nucleotide ribosomal RNA is filed under the name uncultured bacterium. RNAcentral's name for it is "partial 16S ribosomal RNA". It matches the Rfam family "Bacterial small subunit ribosomal RNA", at positions 338 to 795 of the family's 1533-position model. The record is from RNAcentral.